CGAGCGGCGAAUUUUGGUUCGAGUUAUGAGCUCCGAAGCUGCUUCUUCAAAGCUUCUUCACCAAUUGCUGGGACCAGAAAAUGUGCAGCGUUGGUGUCGGGGUUGUCCUCUGUUACUUCACCAACGAUUUCAUCGUUCAACGAGGUCGAAAUAUUGAAAAUCUUGUUAUGCAUAGUGUGCUUAGCUUUAUUGGCAAAGUAGAUGUAAGUCCCAAUACAUAUCUCCUACACCAAGAGCUGCUUAACUUCAUGCUCGUAGCCAUGUCAACUCAGCUUCUUUCUGGGCCAUCACCAGGACCCAAGGAUAUUCACCCAUUCAUUGAUAUGGCAAUGGUCCAGGAAAGCUCUUUUGUUGGUUUGGUUGUUCGCAAACUGCUACUUAAUUACAUCAUGCGACCUCACUUCGCCUUAAAUACUGCAUCUUAUGACAUGUUUUCUGAAGGAAAUCAGUCCGGUGUUUUACAGAGAGUUGGUUCUGCAACUGUUGAAUCACAGAUGAUGAUGGUUCUUAUUUAGAUCCUUUGUUGGAGACACUGUGGAAUAUAUUAUCAUGUGCAUCAUACUCCCUUCUAAGAUCUAUCUUCAUGCUUUCAUAUACAGGUGUUCUCAGCUUUUGGCUUUGUCCACAAGAUUGCAACUUUUGAGAAGGCUGCAGGUUUUCAGGUGUGAUGUCGAAAAUCGCCUUCUUCUUCUUCUUCUUCUUCUUCUCUCUCUCUCUCUCUCUCUCUCUCUCUCUCGUUUUUCUUGUAUUUUUUUGGUAUCUGCAUUGGUCUUUCUG
Non-coding RNA from Camellia sinensis, 777 nucleotides. The record is from RefSeq and is a predicted model, not a curated record. Lineage: Eukaryota; Viridiplantae; Streptophyta; Magnoliopsida; Ericales; Theaceae.